Haliotis rubra (blacklip abalone) is the source of this 110-nucleotide long non-coding RNA. RefSeq lists it as uncharacterized. The transcript is spliced from 3 exons. NCBI's taxonomy places the organism in Eukaryota, Metazoa, Mollusca, Gastropoda, Lepetellida, Haliotidae. The record is from RefSeq and is a predicted model, not a curated record.
UGAUACCCGGAUUGGGUGGACGGCUUAGGCGAUUCCUGUCUCAAACUAUCAAGCUCCUCAAAACAAUAGCUUUCAGUUUCCUAGGUUCUACAUGCCACUCAAAGAACAUG